UUCACGAUGGGAAUGCUUUCGGUUGCAUCGCAGCCUUGGCUUCCGCAGAUGCCUGGUUCAAAUCCACCCGUUGUAAACACAUGCUAGCGUUAAAAAAAACGCUCCAUAGAUAGAUAUUGCAGCUGAAAAAUCAUGGUCCUGGUUCGAAUACACCCGUUAAAAAACAUGCUACCGUUAAGAUAUUGCAGUUGAAAAAAAACAAGCUACCGUUAAUAAACACGCUCCAUAGAUAGAUAUUGCAGCUGAAAAAAGCAUGCUACCGUUAACAAAAGCACGCUCCUAUUCUUUAACCUAUUAUAUAUAUGGCCAUUGAUUUAGAAGAAUAGCUCAUCCGCAAUGUUCAGUAUUUCCCUGCGCACAUUGAUUCUGAAUGUACUAGCUAUGCAGACUCCUCUGGUUAUUGCUGCUUCAAGGCCAUAGUGAGCAUAUAGAUGAAAGAUUUUAGGGAACUAAAUUUAUAGAUUCUUGGUAUAGGGCUCGAUGCCCUUUCCUGCAAGGGGUGAAUUUGCCAUUUGGUGUGCCCUAUCUGCGAAGGAAUGUUGUCCGAGGGAGUGAUGCCUCCAACGCCUCAGAGGUCAUCCGCAUCACCAAUCAUAUGCGGAGGAAUGUUGACUGAUACUGGAAAAGGAGAACUAGUACAUAUAUUAGCUUAUUAUGGUAGCUGUGGACCAGCAAAAUUUGCAGAGAUAGAAGAAUGCUCGGCCAAUAUAAUAGAGGGCAGAAACCAUGUUACCGAAGCUUAAACCUCUGAAAAUGGGAGAAUGAUUCAUACAUUGCUGGGAGAUGGUGUAGCUCCAGGAAAACUGCAAUGAUUUAGAUUGCAUAAAGCAGGCAUCUAGCAAAUGCCUACUUAUGCUAGAUAUGGUACAUCUAAUACCUCGUUGUUUUUUGGGAUUACAUAGACGAUCCAAGUUCCUGAUUUCAAAUUGAAUAUUCAAUGUCCAAUAAAUAGGAGAGCAGCCACAUACUUAUCAAGUGUGCAACGUUAGAUAAUAUUUGGAUCCGGUUCAAGCAUUAGAUGUGGCAGAGGCAGUUGGCAGUCUGUAGAGUGAUGCCUAGAGUUUCUCAAUUGUUAUUGCAGUC
This is a long non-coding RNA of Cryptomeria japonica (Japanese cedar), 1083 nucleotides long. RefSeq lists it as uncharacterized. The transcript has 3 exons. The record is from RefSeq and is a predicted model, not a curated record. NCBI's taxonomy places the organism in Eukaryota, Viridiplantae, Streptophyta, Pinopsida, Cupressales, Cupressaceae.